GGGCUUGAACCCAUGAACUGUGAGAUCAUGACCUAAGCCGAAGUCAGAUGCUUAGCUGACUGAGCUGCCCAGGCGCCCCUGAUAUGGAACAUUUUUAUAGCUUUAAGUUUGAAGACUAAGUAUUUGCUUGCGUUCACAACAACAUUUAUUCUUCAGCUUCAGGGAAAUGCAGUGCUUCCACAUUGAGUAAUUUUACAAAUAAAGGGUACUUUAAGAAUCACCCCCAUUUGUUUAUUUUUACCCCUGUGGCCAUUUUCUUUGUGGAUAGUCGCUCAGGGAUCUCACUGGAUCUUCCCUUAUCAUACAGGCAGUUGUAAGAGUGUCCUUGGGGAGACUGAGGCAAGAAGGAUUUACCUUGCAUUGUACAAUUCCACCAUGUUUAAAUGUUGAGAACUUCAUGACCUCCAUGUUUCUUCUUUUGCACCAGAGUUAGAUCACGGCCUUUCUGACUCCGGAGUCCCUGCUCUUAAUCAUUCUGCUUGCUCUACCUGACUUCAGGGAAGGAAGGAGAAUCAGACCUUGAGAUAAAUUUGAAAUCUAGCUGGGGAUAUAAAACUGAAAUGCAUACACAAUGGCUAAUAUGAGAUAUGGAAAUGGAAGUUCAGAGGAAGUAAAAAUCAUAUGCAAGAUCAGUCAGCUCCAAAGUGGUAGAGAGAAGAUUCAGAUCCAGAUCUGUCUUUCUCCGAAGCUCAACCCUGUCCAGCAUAUAUUAUGUUCAGUGAUGUGUCCAAGUCCUGCUUGGAACUCCCUUCAUGAGGCUAACGAUAGAGCAGGCUUGUGGUUGGUAGACCUGAGUGGACCAUGUUAGUAAUCAACCAGACUGGAAGCGUGGGCCUUUCUGAGAGCCUGGGAAGUAGAAGUGGCUCAGAUCCUUGGAGAAGUUGAUGGCCCUUUGAGAAGCAGAAGAGCAUGAUAAUGUGUAUGACUCCAGCACCAACUGAUCUCAUUCAAAUCCCAGCUCCAUCUCUUCCUACCUGUGUAGACCUUGAAUAAGUCACUUAAACUGUCUGUGACCCAGUCCACCUUUUCUGAGGACACUAAUAACCUCAACCUCAGGAUGAUUAUGAAAUUUGAAAGUAGUCAUGCCUUUGAAGCUCUUGGGGCAGUUCCUGAAGCAUAUAAUCUUUAAUCAACAUGAGCUACUGUGAUGCCACCUCCUAGAGGCCACCGUUUACUCAUAGAUGUCGGAUAAUUUUCAUGUGUAAGAUACUUUGGUAAUUUUUAUUUAAGCUACUUAGAUAUCUUUGCCAGUACAUGGGCUUAUGUGACUUUGUCAAUGAACUCCAAAACGUA
Felis catus (domestic cat) is the source of this 1293-nucleotide long non-coding RNA. RefSeq lists it as uncharacterized. The transcript is spliced from 4 exons. The record is from RefSeq and is a predicted model, not a curated record. Lineage: Eukaryota; Metazoa; Chordata; Mammalia; Carnivora; Felidae.